This is a long non-coding RNA of Mauremys reevesii (Reeves's turtle), 560 nucleotides long. RefSeq lists it as uncharacterized. The record is from RefSeq and is a predicted model, not a curated record. Lineage: Eukaryota; Metazoa; Chordata; Testudines; Geoemydidae. The transcript has 3 exons.
CCUAUGUGUUGCUCAUGGCAGGAUCAGGCUAGCAGAGGUGAUCUAGUGUUAAUGAACUGAAAGAUCUUAUUUAUUCUUAGAACCUGCCUCUGCUAAAAACUCCUCCGAAUCCUCCUUGCUUUCACUGGCUACUGGAAUUUCUUCAGUCUCGCUCAUCCUUUUUAUUAGUAAUGCCAUAGAGCUGUUUGGGAAAUGCUCCCGGAUUCAUGUGAUUGUGUCGGAAUCUCAGCUUUGGUUUGAAGAGGAAUUAAAAAAAAAAAAAGUAUCUAGCCUCCAUGGUCGUGGAGAAAAGCUUGAAAACAUGGCUCCUAAAGAUUCAAAAACCCAAAGACCCACAAACCAAGGGAACUGACUAGACAAGUGCUGUCCUGUCUUCUCAAGAGAGCUGCUGAAGAUGCAAGAAUUGCUGCGAGGGGAGAUACUUAAAGACAAAUGGGAAAGGUGGUUUAUUUCUAUGUCUGGUUAUUCAGUAUGGUGUAGGGCUUGGUACCUUUCUGUGCUGUGCUGUAUUUUUAAGUAUGUGUCAGAGUAGAGCAUAGCAGAAUAGAUUGUAGUGUGUU